GCUAUACUCGGGCGGGGAGCUUGGGUAAGACGAGGGGUGCGAACGUUGGUCGGGAUUAGUGGGCGUGAAGCGGACGGAGGCGGCCUUGUAAGUUGGAGGGGAAAUCCCUCGGCUUAACCGAGGACGGGCAUCCGAAACUGUGAGGCUCGAGUAUGGAAGAGGGUCGCAGAAUUCCCGGUGUAGAGGUGAAAUUCGUAGAUAUCGGGAGGAAUACCAGUGGCGAAGGCGGCGACCUGGGCCAAUACUGACGCUGAGGUGCGAAAGCGUGGGGAGCAAACAGGAUUAGAUACCCCAGUAGUC
RNAcentral lists this ribosomal RNA (300 nucleotides) under uncultured archaeon. RNAcentral's name for it is "bacterial SSU rRNA". It matches the Rfam family "Bacterial small subunit ribosomal RNA", at positions 496 to 795 of the family's 1533-position model. The record is from RNAcentral.